This 534-nucleotide ribosomal RNA is filed under the name Triticum aestivum (bread wheat). RNAcentral describes it as "partial small subunit ribosomal RNA". The record is from RNAcentral. Lineage: Eukaryota; Viridiplantae; Streptophyta; Magnoliopsida; Poales; Poaceae.
AUGAUCUACCUGCUUCUCAUCCGUCCUGAGAUGCUAAUGCUCGGCAGCAGAUCGGAUCUCUUCACCAUGGCCAGCAACCAAAUUGGCAAGGACAUGACAGAAGAAAUUCUUGCAGGGGAGAUUCUUAGCAUGCCCCCAUCUUCAGAUAACAUGAUUUCCGACGCACGUAGGCUCGCCCGAGAACUUAUGAUGCUGGAUAGUGAGGAAGAUAGGUGGAUAGUGAUCCAAGGUGUGUGGGUGGAGAUGCUCUGCUAUUCCGCCAGCACGUGCAGGGGCUACCUACACGCCAAGAGCCUGGGUGAUGGCGGGGAGUGUCUCACCACUAUCUGGCUCCUCUUGGCGGUGAUGGGGAUGGAGACCUUGGCGGACAGGAAUCACAGGCCAAAGUUUCAGGAUGAAGAAGAGAAAGUAGAAGAAAUAGAAUUAGAAGAAGCACUUCCCGUCCACAAGAAGGAUGAGAAGAAGAAUCACAUACUUCCUUCCUGUUCCCAAGGCAGAGCCGGUCACCCUGCUCACGACGACCGCCUAGUCUAA